Molecule: transfer RNA, 71 nt
Filed under: Ictidomys tridecemlineatus (thirteen-lined ground squirrel)
Lineage: Eukaryota; Metazoa; Chordata; Mammalia; Rodentia; Sciuridae
Description: Spermophilus tridecemlineatus (thirteen-lined ground squirrel) tRNA
Rfam family: tRNA
About the family: Transfer RNA (tRNA) molecules are approximately 80 nucleotides in length. Their secondary structure includes four short double-helical elements and three loops (D, anti-codon, and T loops). Further hydrogen bonds mediate the characteristic L-shaped molecular structure. tRNAs have two regions of fundamental functional importance: the anti-codon, which is responsible for specific mRNA codon recognition, and the 3' end, to which the tRNAs corresponding amino acid is attached (by aminoacyl-tRNA synthetases). tRNAs cope with the degeneracy of the genetic code in two manners: having more than one tRNA (with a specific anti-codon) for a particular amino acid; and 'wobble' base-pairing, i.e. permitting non-standard base-pairing at the 3rd anti-codon position.
Source: Rfam by way of RNAcentral
GGGGUUGUGGUUCAGUGGUAGAAUGCUUGCCUAUCAUGUGUGAGUCACUGAGUUCAAUCCUCAGCACUCUG